CGGGUGCACUGAUCCGGCCGGGCCUUUCCCUCUGUGGAACCCCAUGGCCUUCACUGGCUGUGCGGGGGAAACAGGACUUUUACUGUGAAAAAAUUAGAGUGCUCCAGGCAGGCCUAUGCUCGAAUACAUUAGCAUGGAAUAAUAGAAUAGGACGCGUGGUUCUAUUUUGUUGGUUUCUAGGACCGCCGUAAUGAUUAAUAGGGACAGUCGGGGGCAUCAGUAUUCAAUUGUCAGAGGUGAAAUUCUUGGAUCUAUUGAAGACUAACUACUGCGAAAGCAUUUGCCAAGGAUGUUUUCAUUGAUAAGGAACGAAAGUUAGGGGAUCGAAGACGAUCAGAUACCGUUGUAGUCUUAACUAUAAACUAUGCCGACUAGGGAUCGGACGAUGUUAUUUCUUGACGCGUUCGGCACCUUUCGAGAAAUCAAAGUGCUUGGGCUCCAUGGGGAGUAUGGUCGCAAGGCUGAAACUUAAAGAAAUUGACGGAAGGGCACCACCAGGGGUGGAACCUGCGGCUUAAUUUGACUCAACACGGGGAAACUCACCAGGUCCAGACACAGUGAGGAUUGACAGAUUGAGAGCUCUUUCUUGAUUCUGUGGGUGGUGGUGCAUGGCCGUUCUUAGUUGGUGGAGUGAUUUGUCUGCUUAAUUGCGAUAACGAACGAGACCUUAACCUGCUAAAUAGCCCGUACUCCUCUGGCAGUUCGCCGGCUUCUUAGAGGGACUAUCGG
Molecule: ribosomal RNA, 729 nt
Filed under: uncultured eukaryote
Lineage: Eukaryota
Description: SSU rRNA
Rfam family: Eukaryotic small subunit ribosomal RNA
Source: RNAcentral